UACGUAGGUGGCGAGCGUUGUCCGGAUUUACUGGGCGUAAAGGGAGCGUAGGCGGACUUUUAAGUGAGAUGUGAAAUACCCGGGCUCAACUUGGGUGCUGCAUUUCAAACUGGAAGUCUAGAGUGCAGGAGAGGAGAGUGGAAUUCCUAGUGUAGCGGUGAAAUGCGUAGAUAUUAGGAGGAACACCAGUAGCGAAGGCGGCUCUCUGGACUGUAACUGACGCUGAGGCACGAAAGCGUGGGGAGCAAACAGGAUUAGAUACCCCGGUA
This 269-nucleotide ribosomal RNA is filed under the name uncultured prokaryote. Its description in RNAcentral is "partial 16S ribosomal RNA". It matches the Rfam family "Bacterial small subunit ribosomal RNA", at positions 524 to 792 of the family's 1533-position model. The record is from RNAcentral.